CACGUCCAUAUAAUAAACUCCACAGGCAUGAAAACUGAGAAUUCAGUAGACUAGACAUUGCUGUCGCUCACGGUGAAAGAAUUUUGUCAAUACGACUUUUACUUUUCAUUUGGGAACGAUUUGUUUCGGCCUGACUUUUCUGUUCAUUUUAAGCAGCAAAAGUGAGGCGCAUGUCUGUGUACGUGUGUAUGGAGCCAUUGGGUGCGGUCACUAUAGCAACCAGGCUCACACCUGCCUGCUUAACGAGCUCUGCCUGCCACUGUACCAAGAUUCAUCUUAAGCACUUCUCUUUCAACUGCUGCUGUGUCCACAGUGUUACAGCCAUCAUUUUACCCUCAAAUUGUCGCCAUUAUUGUUCUCUUUCCAACACCGUAUCUUUCAAAGCUCAGGCAUUUAAACUUUUUAAACUGUGUGUAUCAAAGUGGAGGGAUCACAUUUGAGUCAUUCAGUGAUUCAAAGAAUAUGACCUUUUAAUAUUCAUUCAGAUGUUUUCUGACUCUAAAUGUUCUUUUCUCAUUUCUUAGGGUUUUCUAAUUUACAUUUAAAACAUUUUCAGUUUUUUUCCAACUCCUUCUUCUGUGUAACCUUCAGCUUUUAGCAGUUCAGCACCUUUGUUUUCAGGUUAAAUUCGUUUUUUUUUGUUGUUUUUUUUUAUCUCAUUCAAUAUUUUUAACUCAAAAUUCAGCAAUUAAUUCAUUUCAGUGCAUACAUUCAGAUUCAAGCAUUCACACUGCAGUUUCUUCAGAAAAUGCACUUUCUAGUUAUAUUUUAUUUUUCCGUACGUUUUUUGAAAGCCUACUCCUUCAAAACCGUUCAACUUAGAAAAACCAUUCAAACAUCGUUAGAUUCCUAUUAUUUUGGACAACAUUGCUUCUAUUUUUCUCAUUUUUAACAUUUAUAUUUUUAAUUUUAUUCAACUUUAUUCAACAAAAAUUUCCCAUGUAUUUCAAUGGGGAGACCCUUCAAAUUCUCAUUCAACUUACUCAUUUUUAAACUCUUACUACUUCAACAUACGUUCACAUAGAGCCACCAUUCAAACUUUAAAACGAAGACAAGACAUUCAACUAUUCAACUUGUAUUUAUCUUUUCAAUAUCUAUUAUACUUUUUCUUCAGUUCCAGUUUAAGUUUCAUGAUGUUUUUUCACCCGUUUCAGAGUUUAUAAUGGGUGUGUAUGGGACGGAAUGUUGGGGCUAGAGUGAGGCAGCUCAACUGCUAGAGUGAGAGGAGCAAAAAAAUUAAUCUUAAAAUAUUUUUUAAAACUGCUGCUGUGUCUGCAGCGUUUGCUCUACAGGUAUGAUUUUACCCUCAAAACGUAGCCAUGGCUGUCCUCUUUCAUCCAAUGUGUUUACUAUUGUACUAGGUGUUAUGGUUCUUUCAUAAAUGUCACCAAUGCACAGCCUCCUCCCUCCAACUCUUC
Astatotilapia calliptera (eastern happy) is the source of this 1418-nucleotide long non-coding RNA. The record is from Ensembl. Lineage: Eukaryota; Metazoa; Chordata; Actinopteri; Cichliformes; Cichlidae.